AGAGCGAACGCUGGCGGCAGGCUUAACACAUGCAAGUCGAGCGGGCGUAGCAAUACGUCAGCGGCAGACGGGUGAGUAACGCGUGGGAACGUACCUUUUGGUUCGGAACAACACAGGGAAACUUGUGCUAAUACCGGAUAAGCCCUUACGGGGAAAGAUUUAUCGCCGAAAGAUCGGCCCGCGUCUGAUUAGCUAGUUGGUGAGGUAACGGCUCACCAAGGCGACGAUCAGUAGCUGGUCUGAGAGGAUGAUCAGCCACAUUGGGACUGAGACACGGCCCAAACUCCUACGGGAGGCAGCAGUGGGGAAUAUUGGACAAUGGGCGAAAGCCUGAUCCAGCCAUGCCGCGUGAGUGAUGAAGGCCCUAGGGUUGUAAAGCUCUUUGUGCGGGAAGAUAAUGACGGUACCGCAAGAAUAACGCCCGGCUAACUUCGUGCCAGCAGCCGC
This 447-nucleotide ribosomal RNA is filed under the name uncultured bacterium. Its description in RNAcentral is "SSU rRNA". It matches the Rfam family "Bacterial small subunit ribosomal RNA", at positions 26 to 518 of the family's 1533-position model. The record is from RNAcentral.